GACGAACGCUGGCGGCGUGCUUAACACAUGCAAGUCGAACGGAAAGGCCCUGCUUUUGUGGGGUGCUCGAGUGGCGAACGGGUGAGUAACACGUGAGUAACCUGCCCUUGACUUUGGGAUAACUUCAGGAAACUGGGGCUAAUACCGGAUAGGAGCUCCUGCUGCAUGGUGGGGGUUGGAAAGUUUCGGCGGUUGGGGAUGGACUCGCGGCUUAUCAGCUUGUUGGUGGGGUAGUGGCUUACCAAGGCUUUGACGGGUAGCCGGCCUGAGAGGGUGACCGGCCACAUUGGGACUGAGAUACGGCCCAGACUCCUACGGGAGGCAGCAGUGGGGAAUAUUGCACAAUGGGCGGAAGCCUGAUGCAGCAACGCCGCGUGCGGGAUGUCGGCCUUCGGGUUGUAAACCGCUUUCGCCUGUGACGAGGCGUGAGUGACGGUAAUGGGUAAAGAAGCACCGGCUAACUACGUG
Molecule: ribosomal RNA, 468 nt
Filed under: uncultured bacterium
Lineage: Bacteria
Description: partial 16S ribosomal RNA
Rfam family: Bacterial small subunit ribosomal RNA
Source: RNAcentral